Oncorhynchus keta (chum salmon) is the source of this 926-nucleotide long non-coding RNA. RefSeq lists it as uncharacterized. The record is from RefSeq and is a predicted model, not a curated record. Lineage: Eukaryota; Metazoa; Chordata; Actinopteri; Salmoniformes; Salmonidae. The transcript has 4 exons.
CUUGAUGACGAGCUUGGAGGGUACUAUGGUGUUGAAUGCCGAGCUGUAGUCGAUGAACAGCAUUCUCACAUAGGUAUUCCUCUUGUCCAGGUGGGUUAGGGCAGUGUGCAGUGUGGUUGAGAUUGCAUCGUCUGUGGACCUAUUUGGGCGGUAAGCAAAUUGGAGUGGGUCUAGGGUGUCCGGUAGGGUGCAGGUGAUAUGGUCCUUGACUAGUCUCUCAAAGCACUUCAUGAUGACGGAAGUGAGUGCUACGGGGCGGUAGUCGUUUAGCUCAGUUACCUUAGCUUUCUUGGGAACAGGAACAAUGGUGGCCCUCUUGAAGCAUGUGGGAACAGCAGACUGGUAUAGGGAUUGAUUGAAUAUGUCCGUAAACACACCGGCCAGCUGGUCUGCGCAUGCUCUGAGGGCGCGGCUGGGGAUGCCGUCUGGGCCUGCAGCCUUGCGAGGGUUAACACGUUUAAAUGUCUUACUCACCUCGGCUGCAGUGAAGGAGAGACCGCAUGUUUUCGUUGCAGGCCGUGUCAGUGGCACUGUAUUGUCCUCAAAGCGGGCAAAAAAGUUAUUUAGUCUGCCUGGGAGCAAGACAUCCUGGUCCGUGACUGAUAUGAGACAGGUAAAUUGAUAUGAGACAGGUAAAUUGAUAUGAGACAGGUAAAUUGAUAUGAGAUAGGUAAAUUGAUAUGAGACAGGUAAAUUGAUAUGAGACAGGUAAAUUGAUAUUAGACAGGUAAAUUGAUAUGAGACAGGUAAAUUGAUAUGAGACAGGUAAAUUGAUAUUAGACAGGUAAAUUGAUGAACAUUGCGCAUGUGGUGCAAAAUGCCGGAGUAUCUGUUUUACAUGCUGUAAUGUCAAAACGAACUUGCGUUUGGCACUUGUGCUGCCGUAGCGCCAGCCGAAAAUAGAGCCCCUUGUCUGUGUUCUGACU